CCUACGGGUGGCUGCAGUGAGGAAUAUUGGUCAAUGGGCGCUAGCCUGAACCAGCCAAGUAGCGUGAAGGAUGACUGCCCUAUGGGUUGUAAACUUCUUUUAUAUGGGAAUAAAGUGCAGUACGUGUACUGCUUUGCAUGUACCUUAUGAAUAAGGAUCGGCUAACUCCGUGCCAGCAGCCGCGGUAAUACGGAGGAUCCGAGCGUUAUCCGGAUUUAUUGGGUUUAAAGGGAGCGUAGGCGGGUUGUUAAGUCAGUUGUGAAAGUUUGCGGCUCAACCGUAAAAUUGCAGUUGAUACUGGCAGCCUUGAGUACAGGAGAGGUAGGCGGAAUGCGUGGUGUAGCGGUGAAAUGCUUAGAUAUCACGAAGAACUCCGAUUGCGAAGGCAGCUUACUAAACUGUAACUGACGUUGAUGCUCGAAAGUGUGGGUAUCAAACAGGAUUAGAUACCCGGGUAGUC
This 460-nucleotide ribosomal RNA is filed under the name uncultured bacterium. Its description in RNAcentral is "partial 16S ribosomal RNA". It matches the Rfam family "Bacterial small subunit ribosomal RNA", at positions 338 to 795 of the family's 1533-position model. The record is from RNAcentral.